Non-coding RNA from Podarcis lilfordi (Lilford's wall lizard), 86 nucleotides. The record is from the annotation of a GenBank genome assembly. NCBI's taxonomy places the organism in Eukaryota, Metazoa, Chordata, Lepidosauria, Squamata, Lacertidae.
GACUCUGUGGCAAAAUGGAUAGCACACUGGAUUUCUAGCGUAGUGAAGUGAUUCAAAGGUUGUGAGUUCGAGUCCUAUCAGGGUCA